RNAcentral lists this ribosomal RNA (388 nucleotides) under Crustomastigaceae sp. Its description in RNAcentral is "partial small subunit ribosomal RNA". It matches the Rfam family "Eukaryotic small subunit ribosomal RNA", at positions 582 to 975 of the family's 1831-position model. The record is from RNAcentral. Lineage: Eukaryota; Viridiplantae; Chlorophyta; Mamiellophyceae; Dolichomastigales; Crustomastigaceae.
AUUCCAGCUCCAAUAGCGUAUAUUUAAGUUGUUGCAGUUAAAAAGCUCGUAGUUGGAUUUCGGGUGUCAUCUGCCGGUCCGCCGUUUCGGUGUGCACUGGCGGGCGUCAUCUUUCUGUCGAGGACGCGCUCCUGUCCUUUAUUGGUCGGGACGCGGAGUCGGCGAGGUUACUUUGAAAAAAUUAGAGUGUUCAAAGCGGGCUUACGCUUGAAUAUAUUAGCAUGGAAUAACACUAUAGGACUCCUGUCCUAUUUUGUCGGUCUUCGGGACGGGAGUAAUGAUUAAGAGGAACAGUUGGGGGCAUUCGUAUUUCAUUGUCAGAGGUGAAAUUCUUGGAUUUUGGAAAGAUGAACUACUGCGAAGGCAUUUACCAAGGAUGUUUUCAUCA